CGGUGGGCAAGAUAGAGGACUAAGCCCAGGCACGCACCCCUGGCCAGGUGGGGUUCCCACCCCCGCUCAGCCUUCUCUCUGCAUGGAUGAUGAAGGACCAGGCCCACCUGAAGUUCUGAGCUUGAGCAGUAAGGUGGAAACAAAGAAACCAAUGGAAUCAGAGAAGCAAGUGAUUGUGAAAAGGAUAACCAGCGUCUGGUCCCGGUAAAAGGCAAGUGAUUGGAGUUUCUUUCCAGUUUGGAAACAUCUGGACAGGCCCAGAUUGAACAGGGUCCAGGGUGAAGGACCAAGCCUGUCCCAUUGGCCAUACUGUGUGUCAUGUCCUGGGACCCACUGGAUGCUCAGCACCUGAAGAAGAAGAUUGUCUUAGACACAUGAAAUGUGAGGACGCCUACUGUCCCCUCGGAACCCAGGUGGGGCUGGGAGUCUGCUGUUUGUACAGCCAGUGGGCUCGUGUUGCUUUGGGCAUCCCUGUGCCUGAAUUCCUGCAGUACACUCGGUGGUAAGGACGGGGGUGCCUGGCAGGGAGGGAAGCGGGUCGGGAGACUGCACAGCUGGGGAGAUGUUAACCUGGGGUGAGUGGGAGCCUGCUGAUGCAUGGCAUGUCGGUGCAGGGAACUCUCCACACUCAGAGGGGUUACCACUUCCUCAGGGGCCCUUUGAUCAGGGUGCUGGGCUGUCAGGGGACUGCGGGGUCCCAGUGAGGAUUAUGGUGCCUUCAGGCAAUGGGAAGUGAGGGGUCCAGUGGCACUUAUAUUAACUGUGCACCCAAACCCAGCCCCCACCUCUUUCAGCCUGUUUCCUAAUCUGCUAAACUGGAAUGAUAUUAACCAUCCUGCGGGGUCGUUGAUGGGCUGGGACAGACUAGACUGUCAGGAGCUGGAAUUCCUUUGUCCCCUGACUGUUUUCCUUCUUUCUGACUAUUUGCUCUCACAAGCUCAGUCUCUCUGUCCGUCUCUCUUUAACUUCUAACUUUCUCUCAUGCUCUGGUUUCAUUUGAAUUCCAACCACCGCCCCUCUCCGUCGCCAAUCCCCAGAUGAGUGAACUUGAUUUCUGUGUGUCAGUUCCAAAUUCCCAGGAAAGAUGCUCUGUCUCCCUCUGGAUCUGUUGUCCAACCCAUCAGUUGUGGCCAGAGGAGCGAGUCCCUCUGGGACCAGCGGAGGGUCUCUGCCUGUGAAGGAAAAGCCCAGCUGGGCUAACAAGCUAAGUCACAAAUCUAAGUGUAACAAGUGUCUGAUUACUGAUCUGAGUUCUGCUGGGCUAACUGGUAAAUCUGAAGUUUAGUGUCAGUUUACUGGGCUAACAAGCUAACUCGUAAAUCCAAGCUCAACAAGUGUCAGUAACGUGAUCUGUUCCGAAUUGAUAAGCUUCAGUGUACUGAUUCCUUGCUUUUUGUUGUUUGAGCCUUAUUGGCUAAUAGCCCAUACUUGUAAUUAACCCUAUAAAACCUCAUGUGCACGUCUUGGAGGUGCUCAGAGCUUCGGAGCAGAAGCCCCUCUGAGCCCGCCGGCGUAAUAAAUCUGAGUACUCCAA
This is a long non-coding RNA of Camelus dromedarius (Arabian camel), 1534 nucleotides long. RefSeq lists it as uncharacterized. The transcript has 5 exons. NCBI's taxonomy places the organism in Eukaryota, Metazoa, Chordata, Mammalia, Artiodactyla, Camelidae. The record is from RefSeq and is a predicted model, not a curated record.